CCCUACGGGGGGCAGCAGUAGGGAAUCUUCCACAAUGGACGAAAGUCUGAUGGAGCAACGCCGCGUGAGUGAAGAAGGGUUUCGGCUCGUAAAGCUCUGUUGGUAGUGAAGAAAGAUAGAGGUAGUAACUGGCCUUUAUUUGACGGUAAUUACUUAGAAAGUCACGGCUAACUACGUGCCAGCAGCCGCGGUAAUACGUAGGUGGCAAGCGUUGUCCGGAUUUAUUGGGCGUAAAGCGAGUGCAGGCGGGUCAAUUAGUCUGAAGUGAAAGCCUUCCGCUCAACCGGAGAAUUGCAUCAGAAAAU
This 305-nucleotide ribosomal RNA is filed under the name uncultured bacterium. RNAcentral's name for it is "bacterial SSU rRNA". It matches the Rfam family "Bacterial small subunit ribosomal RNA", at positions 337 to 634 of the family's 1533-position model. The record is from RNAcentral.